AUGUCGGCGAGGGGCGUGGGAGCUGCCACCUUUCGCCUGCGGGACACCGGAGUCAAGAGGCUGUCCACGCCGCCGCCCGUCCCUUCCACGGUGCCGAGGUCUCCAGGGUCUCCCCGCGCGCGGCAGGCGGCACCAAACGCUGCGCUCCUGACGGUGCGCUCUGCCCUGGCAGUGCGCGCCCAGAGGAAAUCCGCCCAGGGCUUGGGAAGUGCAGGCCUGGGGGCUGCGUGCAAGUUUUCCCAAGCCAUUUCAGUCUGGAUAAGAACCAUUUCUGAGGAACUGGUGUGGUCAUUUGGAGGUAAGAAGACACUCUGGCUUUUUGAGUUGCCAGAGUUCUUGCAUUGGUUCUUCCUCAUCUUUAUCGGCUGAUGUACUUCGAGUCUUUGAAGUUGCUGUUUUUUGAGUGGGUGUUGCAGUAGGUUUUUGGUUUGUUCGCUUUCAUCUUCUUUGAUAUCCUUGGGAGUAUGACUGCGGUACAAGAAUGGUUCUGUUGACUGGCUUCGUUUCUGGAAGAUUCUAGGGGUCCGAGCCUCAGCUUAGCAUUCCUGGACUGUGUGCUCUAACUCUGUGGAUCUGUUAUCAUGCCCCUGGCAUUGUGUUCUCUGGCCCCUUGAGGUUAGGAACCUCCUGUGCUGAAGGGGCCAAGGUGUCCCUUUCCUGCUGGCCACAACACUGAUGGGUGGUGCCAGCCAAAGUGCUUUGUUGGAUGGUGGCAGCAAGAUCUGUUCUCUUUCAUAUGUGGCAGCAGCGACAAUGGUGCAUCUGAGUGCAUAUUUCUUGACUGAUAUGGGAGUGCCAGCCCCUGUGCAGGUAUUCAUAAUAGUGGUAACACAAGAUGAAGCAGGACUGCUGGCGUUCAUAUGUGCUUUCACAGUGACACUGGUGUCAACAUGGGGGUAGGAUGCUGAGUGGUGCGGACAUGCUAGCCUCUAUGCAGGCAUUCAUGACAGUGGUCGUUCUGGGAGGUGGAGGUACUAGCAUUUUUGUGUAUGUUCACACUGGCAGUGGUAUCAGCCUGGGAAUGGGGUACUGGUGGCCUCUGUGUGCAUAUUCACAUUGGGUGGCAGUGCAGGGCCACUGGUCUCUGUGUGUAUUCAUGCG
Molecule: long non-coding RNA, 1101 nt
Filed under: Callithrix jacchus (white-tufted-ear marmoset)
Lineage: Eukaryota; Metazoa; Chordata; Mammalia; Primates; Cebidae
Description: lncRNA (ENSCJAG00000083885.1)
Source: RNAcentral